GGAGCUAGGCAAACCAACUUAAAUAUUCAUUUUUCCAACUUUUUAUUCAACAAGAUAAUAAUGAUAACAGUAAAUUUAGGCGGAAGUCUCAAAUUGGUAAUAACUGAAAGAAAUACGAAAAAGUUAACAUCAUCCUCUACCCAAGAUUUAUUGUCACAAUGCUCUAUGAAAUACUACAAAUAAGAGCCUAAAAGAAAAUACAUAAGAAGUCUGUUUAGAUACAAUGAAACCAAACAGAAAUGAGAUAGAUGAGACUUAGGGUCCGCGCACGCCAGCGAACUACCUAGGAGCCUCUGGACUGAAGGCACGCUCCCGAUCUACUGCUGAUGCGGUACGUAAGCUGCUCCUAAGUCUGUGCACAAAAAAGGAACAUAAGCAUAGCAUCAGCACAACCGACCCCAUGUGCUGGUAAGUGCCUGGCCUAACCCCGGCGAGGUAGUGACGAGGCUAGACCGGACCUACCAUGAUCAACAUGUACAGAUAUAUGUGCAAUAACGGAAAGACAACAAAAUUAAACAGAUAAUUGUCUCACCCCUUUUUUUAACCAAACUCUACACCCUUUUAAAAUAAUAAAAAAAAUUUAGUUAAAGCUUGAAAAAGGGUUUUUCAAUUUUGAAAGUGACAAAAAUUUGUGUUCAAAAGGAUUAACUCACCUGUCAUUUGAUUUCGGUGUGUCAGGUCACCGUUUUUUUUCUAAAAAUAUUUUUUUUCCCUUUCAAACACUUGAGACUCUAAAAAUAAGUCUACACCAGAGAUUUGGGUAAGGGGGUUCAUUUGACUCGGGGAGAAGGUGUUAGGCAUUCCCCAAGUCCCGCAGCUAGUACGGUUGCGUACUCGAUCUAGUUGGCUUUUAAAAUAUUCAAUUGAGGUAAAAAUACAGAAAAGGCAAAAUAAACACAUACGAAGCUCGAAGUCGUCCCCACCUAGUAAAAGAAAAUGAAAAAGGAAAAGAAAACAAAAACUCCUAAGCUAACCUACACUACGUCUUCACCAUCAUGCUCGUCAAGACAUCCAAAAUAUUUACAUAGUUCUUUGGGGCAUUCCCCGGAAUAAAAUAUAUACAAUUCCUUUGGGGCAUUUGCCGGAUAAAUUAAACUAAGGGAACAACCUCUCGCCUGGAAACUAACAAAAAAUUUAAAGUUUGCCUACCUAAAUGUUGUCGGCCUAACAUGCUUCUAACGAUUAAAUUACUAAAAUAAAUAAAGGAAAGCUAGAUAAAAGAAUCCAUGUCAUGCUCAUCUUUUAAUUAGUCAUUCUAUUUAUUUAGCAUGCAGAUGAAGUUAAUACUAAUGAGAUCGAUCUUUCACCCGCUCCAUGUCCCAACAAUCAUUCAAGGAUGUCCAAACAAACGAACAAAAAUCUACACCAAUAAACAUUUUGAUCACAGAAAACUAAGAAAAAUAGCCUUCAAGAGAUUUGCUAAAAAUUUUAAAUACUCAUGUUUUAUAACAAAAGUAAGCCAAACAGAGAACAUAUCGUUCACCUUUUAAUAUGGCCUUCCAUGGUUUCAAAUAAACAUAUAAGAAAACACAUUCGUAAGCAUAACACAGAAUAUAUCGUUCACCUUUUAAUAUGGUCUUCCACGGUUUCAAAUAAACAUAUAAGCAAACACAUUCAAAACCAUACAUAAUAACUAAACAGAUCACAAAUCAAAUCACCAAACCAAAAAUUAAAGUUACGCAAGAAUAAUAACAAAUUAAAGAUUGAAGAACUAGACCUUUAUAGCAAUUUAUCGUUUCACUUCUUUGAACUCCAAAACCUAACGGAUCAUGAACAAUAACUCGAAUCGGCACCAGAAAGCUCGAAACCGACACGACCUCAAUCAAACUCCAUCGGCUUCCAUGAUUUCGAAAUCGAGAAUCAGAAGAAACUAAACUAGAAAUGUACGCUGAUUCGCAGCUCUUUGUCCAAAAGGACUGGCUCAGUUAGAAACCAGCAGAUCCGGGAAUGAACAAGGACUGGCGAGCGGAACCUUAGUUGGAAUCGACGAACUCGAAUGGAAGAUGAUGAACUAACCAAUUUCCGGAAGCAUCUGGUGACAGAGGUGAGACAGAAAAGACGAGAGAGCGAGAAAGAUUUGGAGGGGAGGUUGUCUCCCUAUUUUCGUCCUCUUCUUAUUUGUUUUGACACUAGGUCCGCUGGAGUGUGGCUGUUGGUUCGUUUUCCGACGAGCUCACCAGGCAGCGUUGAGGUGGUCACUGGUCAGGGGCGUGGUGGUGAAGGGAUGGAUUUCUGGCUGAUUUGGUGACUGUUGUUGUUGGUUUUUAUCGAGUUCUGGUGGUGUGAGGGUGAUUGCUGGCAUUUUGGAGAGGAGAGUGGGGUGUUCUCCAUUGUUGUGUAAGGCUUAGAUUUUAGUAAUUUUUAAAUAUACAUCCUAUAUAACAAACCUUAUAACCACUCAUAUUUAAAGUUAGUGUUUAUUACAUUUAAU
RNAcentral lists this long non-coding RNA (2431 nucleotides) under Nicotiana benthamiana. RNAcentral's name for it is "long non-coding RNA (NBEN_LNC015533)". The record is from RNAcentral. Lineage: Eukaryota; Viridiplantae; Streptophyta; Magnoliopsida; Solanales; Solanaceae.